Long non-coding RNA from Thalassophryne amazonica, 268 nucleotides. RefSeq lists it as uncharacterized. Lineage: Eukaryota; Metazoa; Chordata; Actinopteri; Batrachoidiformes; Batrachoididae. The transcript has 3 exons. The record is from RefSeq and is a predicted model, not a curated record.
CUCUCCAUAGUCAGCCACCCUGAAACAUGAAGAAGAGCACUUCAUGGCCUGGACGUUGACCUGAAGUAAAGUUGAUUUAAAUACAGUGUUGAUACGGCGGAUCGAUCUUCUUAAGGUUCCUACAGAUUGUGAAGGGGAGAAACAGUAUGAAGAGCAGCUGGAAAGAGGAAAUGAACGAGGCGGGGAGAGAGAGAGGAGGGUUUGAGCACAUCCAUGUUGCGCUGCAAAGGGUGGGGCCUGGAGGAAUUCACCGCUUUUCUUUCUACUU